Molecule: ribosomal RNA, 460 nt
Filed under: uncultured bacterium
Lineage: Bacteria
Description: partial 16S ribosomal RNA
Rfam family: Bacterial small subunit ribosomal RNA
Source: RNAcentral
CCUACGGGUGGCUGCAGUGAGGAAUAUUGGUCAAUGGUCGAGAGUCUGAACCAGCCAAGUAGCGUGCAGGAUGACUGCCCUAUGGGUUGUAAACUUCUUUUAUAUGGGAAUAAAACGUUCCACGUGUGGGAUUUUGUAUGUACCAUAUGAAUAAGGAUCGGCUAAUUCCGUGCCAGCAGCCGCGGUAAUACGGAGGAUCCGAGCGUUAUCCGGAUUUAUUGGGUUUAAAGGGAGCGUAGGUGGAUUGUUAAGUCAGUUGUGAAAGGUUGCGGCUCAACCGUAGAAGUGCAGUUGAAACUGGCAGUCUUGAGUACAGUAGAGGUAGGCGGAAUGCGUGGUGUAGCGGUGAAAUGCUUAGAUAUCACGAAGAACUCCGAUUGCGAAGGCAGUUCACUGGACUGCAACUGACACUGAGGCUCGAAGGUGUGGGUAUCAAACAGGAUUAGAUACCCGGGUAGUC